RNAcentral lists this ribosomal RNA (807 nucleotides) under uncultured bacterium. Its description in RNAcentral is "bacterial SSU rRNA". It matches the Rfam family "Bacterial small subunit ribosomal RNA", at positions 638 to 1444 of the family's 1533-position model. The record is from RNAcentral.
UGACUNGAGUGCAGAAGGGGAGAGUGGAAUUCCAUGUGUAGCGGUGAAAUGCGUAGAUAUAUGGAGGANCACCAGUGGCGAAAGCGGCUCUCUGGUCUGUCACUGACGCUGAGGCUCGAAAGCGUGGGUAGCGAACAGGAUUAGAUACCCUGGUAGUNCACGCCGUAAACGAUGAGUGCUAGGUGUUAGGCCCUUUCCGGGGCUUAGUGCCGGAGCUAACGCAAUAAGCACUCCGCCUGGGGAGUACGACCGCAAGGUUGAAACUCAAAGGAAUUGACGGGGGCCCGCACAAGCGGUGGAGCAUGUGGUUUAAUUCGAAGCAACGCGAAGAACCUUACCAGGUCUUGACAUCCCGAUGCUAUUCUUAGAGAUAGGAAGUUACUUCGGUACAUCGGAGACAGGUGGUGCAUGGUUGUCGUCAGCUCGUGUCGGGAGAUGUUGGGUUAAGUCCCGCAACGAGCGCAACCCUUAUUGUUAGUUGCCAUCAUUAAGUUGGGCACUCUAGCGAGACUGCCGGUAAUAAACCGGAGGAAGGUGGGGAUGACGUCAAAUCAUCAUGCCCCUUAUGACCUGGGCUACACACGUGCUACAAUGGUCGGUACAACGAGUUGCGAGCCGGUGACGGCAAGCUAAUCUCUGAAAGCCGAUCUCAGUUCGGAUUGGAGGCUGCAACUCGCCUCCAUGAAGUCGGAAUCGCUAGUAAUCGCGGAUCAGCACGCCGCGGUGAAUACGUUCCCGGGCCUUGUACACACCGCCCGUCACACCACGAGAGUUUGUAACACCCGAAGUCGGUGAGGUAACCUUUUA